UACGGGGGGGGCAAGCGUUGUCCGGAAUUAUUGGGCGUAAAGGGCGAGUAGGUGGAAUGGUAAGUUAGAGGUGAAAGUUCAGAGCUUAACUCUGGAAUUGCCUCUAAUACUGCUGUUCUUGAGUGUGAGAUAGGAAAGUGGAAUUCCCGGUGUAGCGGUGAAAUGCGUAGAUAUCGGGAAGAACACCAGUAGCGAAGGCGACUUUCUGGCUCACUUCUGACACUAAAUCGCGAAAGCGUGGGGAG
This 245-nucleotide ribosomal RNA is filed under the name uncultured bacterium. Its description in RNAcentral is "partial 16S ribosomal RNA". It matches the Rfam family "Bacterial small subunit ribosomal RNA", at positions 524 to 768 of the family's 1533-position model. The record is from RNAcentral.